CCUACGGGUGGCAGCAGUGAGGAAUAUUGGUCAAUGGACGAGAGUCUGAACCAGCCAAGUAGCGUGAAGGAUGACUGCCCUAUGGGUUGUAAACUUCUUUUAUAUGGGAAUAAAACGUUCCACGUGUGGGAUUUUGUAUGUACCAUAUGAAUAAGGAUCGGCUAACUCCGUGCCAGCAGCCGCGGUAAUACGGAGGAUCCGAGCGUUAUCCGGAUUUAUUGGGUUUAAAGGGAGCGUAGGUGGAUUGUUAAGUCAGUUGUGAAAGUUUGCGGCUCAACCGUAAAAUUGCAGUUGAAACUGGCAGUCUUGAGUACAGUAGAGGUGGGCGGAAUUCGUGGUGUAGCGGUGAAAUGCUUAGAUAUCACGAAGAACUACGAUUGCGAAGGCAGUUCACUGGACUGCAACUGACACUGAGGCUCGAAAGUGUGGGUAUCAAACAGGAUUAGAUACCCCAGUAGUC
This 460-nucleotide ribosomal RNA is filed under the name uncultured bacterium. RNAcentral describes it as "partial 16S ribosomal RNA". It matches the Rfam family "Bacterial small subunit ribosomal RNA", at positions 338 to 795 of the family's 1533-position model. The record is from RNAcentral.